AAAAUGCGUUACUUUUCAUGACUUGCAAACUUCAUGAAUGAAAAGACUUCGAAUGCAAAUUGCGCCGAUGGUUUUUAACCAUUGGCACAUUUGUUUGAGAAUCAUAUAUAAUAUAUACUGAUUUCUUUUUGGAAUUAGUGAUAUUUGAAAGGUUUUUUAUGCCUUUUGUACAUGGAGGACUUGGAGUUUUGAGAAUUUCCGUUGUUGGAAACUCUGAUAGCCUUGUCCUUUCAUAACCUUAUCUCAAAGGGGGAAUUUGAUCGCGUCUGUACAAGACGGCUUUCUUUUUAUGGUUUUUCUCUUUUAUGAAAAGCUUGAAUCGACAAUUUUAUAUAUAUUGUUGAGAUAAAAGUUUUUUCAUAUUUUUUUGAGUUGACAUAAAUUAAAGCUCUUCUGUGCGUUCAAAUUUCAUCAUUUUUAUGAUCUCAAAUCAAGUGUGACUACCCGCUGAACUUAAGC
Molecule: unclassified non-coding RNA, 459 nt
Filed under: plant metagenome
Description: partial contains 5.8S ribosomal RNA, internal transcribed spacer 2, and large subunit ribosomal RNA
Rfam family: 5.8S ribosomal RNA (bases 1-104)
Source: RNAcentral